RNAcentral lists this ribosomal RNA (404 nucleotides) under Actinomycetes bacterium. RNAcentral describes it as "Actinobacteria bacterium partial 16S ribosomal RNA". It matches the Rfam family "Bacterial small subunit ribosomal RNA", at positions 355 to 776 of the family's 1533-position model. Lineage: Bacteria; Bacillati; Actinomycetota; Actinomycetes. The record is from RNAcentral.
UGGGGAAUAUUGGACAAUGGGCGCAAGCCUGAUCCAGCCAUGCCGCGUGAGUGAUGAAGGCCCUCGGGUUGUAAAGCUCUUUCACCGGUGAAGAUAAUGACGGUAACCGGAGAAGAAGCCCCGGCUAACAUCGUGCCAGCAGCCGCGGUAAUACGAAGGGGGCUAGCGUUGUUCGGAGUUACUGGGCGUAAAGCGCACGUAGGCGGACUUUUAAGUCAGGGGUGAAAUCCCGGGGCUCAACCCCGGAACUGCCUUUGAGACUGGAAGUCUUGAGUAUGGUAGAGGUGAGUGGAAUUCCGAGUGGAGGGGUGAAAUUCGUAGAUAUUCGGAGGAACACCAGUGGCGAAGGCGGCUCACUGGACCAUUACUGACGCUGAGGGGCGAAAGCGUGGGGAGCAAACAGG